This 253-nucleotide ribosomal RNA is filed under the name uncultured bacterium. RNAcentral describes it as "partial 16S ribosomal RNA". It matches the Rfam family "Bacterial small subunit ribosomal RNA", at positions 524 to 776 of the family's 1533-position model. The record is from RNAcentral.
UACGUAGGGUGCGAGCGUUGCCCGGAUUUAUUGGGCGUAAAGGGCGCGUAGGCGGCUCGGCACGUCCGUUGUGAAAUCGCCCGGCUCAACUGGGCGGGGUCAGCGGAUACGGUCGAGCUUGAGCAAGCUAGGGGGCAAUGGAAUUCCCGGUGUAGUGGUGGAAUGCGUAGAUAUCGGGAGGAACACCAGUGGCGAAGGCGGUUACCUGGAGCUUUGCUGACGCUGAUGCGCGAAAGCGUGGGGAGCGAUCCGG